AGGGGGUCCUGAAUCGGAAAUACAAAUGGGAACGUUAUGGUGAAGAAGAACUUUUGAUACGCGCUGCUUGUUAUUUACAUAAGUGAUCAAGCUUGGCAGGGGAGUUUUCCUAGGGCAUCACCUGGGCUUUGACAGCUACUGUACAGAAGGGAUCCACAUCUUCUGACCUGGUCAAGACGAGCUGAGAUAAAGGACUGUAUCUUCUGCUGUCGACCCCCUCCUCUGCAACCCGCUCAAGUACGAAUAAAGGAGAGACAAAACAUGGCCUGUCAGAGGGAUGCAGAUGCCCUGAUCUCCUGUAAGGUUUUCUGAAAUCCUGCAUUAUGCAGCUUUGAUGUUUAUGCUCCAGAUUCCCAGGAGAAUUAGGACAGACUAAUGACAUCUCCCAUGCUGACUGUCAGAACUGCCCCUAAGAUGAUCCUUUUGACUGCUGGAUGUCACUCAAUCUCAGGAUAGACUUGAGUAACAGCUUGUCAGAAAGAUCGCCCUGGAUUCAAGUCAUCUAGCAUUGUGUUUAUAUUCAAGACGGUCUAACUGGUUCGGAGGUCAAAAAAACAAUUUUUACUAUCUUGUAGCAAUACUAAAUCUGAGAGAAAAUUGUCUGCGCUGAGAUAUACCUGUAUAAGGCGAUAUAUCAGUAUGCUGUCCUGGAUAAUUAAGAAUAAGCAUGCUUGUUAUGUUUUUUAAUUGAAUUCUCCUGUUAUCAUUUGAAACUGUCACAGCCCUGUAAUGAAAAAUACUGAGCAGCUCAUUACUUACUAUGACCAGCUCAUGAGGGAGAAAUUAUUGCAAGGUCACCAGACAUCAAUGAUGUGAAA
Molecule: long non-coding RNA, 818 nt
Organism: Paramormyrops kingsleyae
Lineage: Eukaryota; Metazoa; Chordata; Actinopteri; Osteoglossiformes; Mormyridae
Source: RefSeq, a predicted model, not a curated record